UACAGAGGGGGCAAGCGUUAUUCGGAAUUAUUGGGCGUAAAGGGCGCGUAGGCGGCCUGACAAGUGGAAGGUGAAAUCCCUCGGCUUAACCGAGGAACUGCCCUCCAAACUGUUUGGCUUGAGUCCGGGAGAGGUGAGUGGAAUUCCCAGUGUAGCGGUGAAAUGCGUAGAUAUUGGGAGGAACACCAGUGGCGAAGGCGGCUCACUGGACCGGAACUGACGCUGAUGCGCGAAAGCGUGGGGGGCAAACGGG
This 253-nucleotide ribosomal RNA is filed under the name uncultured bacterium. Its description in RNAcentral is "partial 16S ribosomal RNA". It matches the Rfam family "Bacterial small subunit ribosomal RNA", at positions 524 to 776 of the family's 1533-position model. The record is from RNAcentral.